CUGGACAGGGGUGGUUUCUGGCGGAACCAAAAGUAGUUUUGUGGUCCCCUGGUUCACCCCUGUCGAUUCGACUACUUUUCCGUCGAAAUCCGGACCCAUCAAUUUUCGCUAAAAACACAAAUGUAAAUUUGGCCAAAAAUGAAAAAAAUAAAAAUCGCUGGAAAUGAUUGGAAUUGGUCUGGGAGAGUCGCCUUUGACCUCCUCUGUCGAAAUUGCGUGCUUCCUGGCUCUUUUGCAUCCUGUUUCUUCGACUAUAAAAUUGCGUCUUUGGUUUGUCGCAGGAAGAUUGGCCUGGAGGUGACCUGACUUGGACAUCAGCAAAGCAGCCUAUGUGUCACCUGCAGUAUGCUGAGUUGGCGUCGCAGCACACAGCAGAAGGAAUCGCUCCUUUUUCUCAUGAUCGCAGGAAUGAAUCUGGUAUUCAGAUUCGCUCCAAGUCACCAGCAGAAACAAGCCAGCUACUUGAGGAAGACUUACUCUUAUAAUGUAAAUGAUUUGAAACAAUAAAGAAUAGAAAAUCACUA
Frankliniella occidentalis (western flower thrips) is the source of this 524-nucleotide long non-coding RNA. RefSeq lists it as uncharacterized. Lineage: Eukaryota; Metazoa; Arthropoda; Insecta; Thysanoptera; Thripidae. The record is from RefSeq and is a predicted model, not a curated record. The transcript has 2 exons.